RNAcentral lists this unclassified non-coding RNA (253 nucleotides) under uncultured cyanobacterium. RNAcentral describes it as "contains 16S-23S intergenic spacer region". It matches the Rfam family "Bacterial small subunit ribosomal RNA", at positions 524 to 776 of the family's 1533-position model. The record is from RNAcentral. Lineage: Bacteria; Bacillati; Cyanobacteriota.
GACGUAGGAUGCAAGCGCUGUCCGGAAUUAUUGGGCGUAAAGAGUUCGUAGGCGGUGAUUUAAGUCCGAUGUUAAAGAUCGAAGCUCAACUUCGACUUGGCAUUGGAAACUGGAUUGCUAGAGUGCAGUAGAGGUAAUGGGAAUUCUCGGUGUAGCGGUGAAAUGCGUAGAUAUCGGGAGGAACACCAGUGGCGAAAGCGCAUUACUGGGCUGCAACUGACGCUGAGGAACGAAAGCCAGGGGAGCGAAAGGG